GGAAAAGGGCCGGCUUCCCCAUGUUGUCUUCAUUUCCUUUCUUCUCUUAGGAAACACCUCUGAAUGGCCCCACUGCUUCAUAACAGUGCCAUGUGUUUGGGACCAAGAUUUGAACAUACGUGCUUUUGGGAGACUUUAAACUAUGGCACCUGGAUAACUGGAACUACAGAAAGUAAAACCUCAGGUGAAGUUCUGAGGAGAUAUCAAGGCCUUGAGGAUAUGAGACAGAACCUUCUGGAAAAUAUUCUGAGAGCUGAAGAAAGCAAAAGAAGACCUAUGUGAGCAAAAGAGCUAAGGUAUGUUAGAAACAGCAAAAGUGAUGAAAAC
This 327-nucleotide long non-coding RNA is filed under the name Chinchilla lanigera (long-tailed chinchilla). Its description in RNAcentral is "lncRNA (ENSCLAG00000022281.1)". The record is from RNAcentral. Lineage: Eukaryota; Metazoa; Chordata; Mammalia; Rodentia; Chinchillidae.